This 358-nucleotide unclassified non-coding RNA is filed under the name uncultured bacterium. Its description in RNAcentral is "contains 16S-23S intergenic spacer region". The record is from RNAcentral.
UCCGAGUUGACCCCGGCAGUCUCCGAUGAGUCCCCGGCAUCACCCGCUGGCAACAUCGGACAAGGGUUGCGCUCGUUGCGGGACUUAACCCAACACCUCACGGCACGAGCUGACGACAGCCAUGCAGCACCUGAGCAGGAUGGUAUUGCUACCUCGUUGGGCUUUCACCCUUCUACUACCUGCAUGUCCAGCCUGGGUAAGGUUCUUCGCGUUGCGUCGAAUUAAACCACAUGCUCCACCGCUUGUGCGGGCCCCCGUCAAUUCCUUUGAGUUUCAACCUUGCGGUCGUACUUCCCAGGUGGGAUACUUAAUGCUUUCGCUCAGACACCAAGCAUCCAUCGUUUAAGGCCAGGACUAC